UACGAAGGGUGCAAGCGUUAUUCGGAUUGAUUGGGCGUAAAGGGUGCGCAGACGGUGCAUUAAGUCAACUGUUAAAUUUCCCGGCUUAACCGGGAGCCAGCAGUAGAAACUGGUGUGCUAGAGGGUGGAAGAGGAAAGUGGAAUUCUCGGAGUAGCGGUAAAAUGCGUAGAUCUCGAGAGGAACACCGAUGGCGAAGGCAGCUUUCUGGUCCAUUCCUGACGUUCAUGCACGAAAGCGUGGGGAGCAAACAGG
This 253-nucleotide ribosomal RNA is filed under the name uncultured bacterium. RNAcentral's name for it is "partial 16S ribosomal RNA". It matches the Rfam family "Bacterial small subunit ribosomal RNA", at positions 524 to 776 of the family's 1533-position model. The record is from RNAcentral.